This 931-nucleotide ribosomal RNA is filed under the name Ephemerocybe sclerocystidiosa. Its description in RNAcentral is "LSU rRNA". It matches the Rfam family "Eukaryotic large subunit ribosomal RNA", at positions 44 to 960 of the family's 3401-position model. Lineage: Eukaryota; Fungi; Basidiomycota; Agaricomycetes; Agaricales; Psathyrellaceae. The record is from RNAcentral.
CAAUAAGCGGAGGAAAAGAAACUAACAAGGAUUCCCCUUAGUAACUGCGAAGUGAAGCGGGAAAAGCUCAAAUUUAAAAUCUGGUGGUCUCUGGCCAUCCGAGUUGUAAUCUAGAGAAGUGUUACCCGCGUCGGACCGUGUACAAGUCUCCUGGAAUGGAGCGUCAUAGAGGGUGAGAAUCCCGUCUUUGACACGGACCCCCGAGGCUUUGUGGUGCGCUCUCAAAGAGUCGAGUUGUUUGGGAAUGCAGCUCAAAAUGGGUGGUAAAUUCCAUCUAAAGCUAAAUAUUGGCGAGAGACCGAUAGCGAACAAGUACCGUGAGGGAAAGAUGAAAAGAACUUUGGAAAGAGAGUUAAACAGUACGUGAAAUUGCUGAAAGGGAAACGCUUGAAGUCAGUCGCGUUGGCCGGAAAUCAGCCUUCCUUUUGGUUGGUGUACUUUCUGGUUGACGGGCCAGCAUCAGUUUUGACCGGUGGAUAAAGUUGUAGGGAAUGUGGCAUCUUCGGGUGUGUUAUAGCCCUGCUUCGUAUACAUCGAUUGGGACUGAGGAACUCAGCACGCCGCAAGGCCGGGAUUCGUCCACGUUCGUGCUUAGGAUGCUGGCAUAAUGGCUUUAAUCGACCCGUCUUGAAACACGGACCAAGGAGUCUAACAUGCCUGCGAGUGUUUGGGUGGAAAACCCGAGUGCGUAAUGAAAGUGAAAGUCGAGAUCCUUGUCAUGGGGAGCAUCGACGCCCGGACCAGAAGUUUACGGACGGUUCUGCGGUAGAGCAUGUAUGUUGGGACCCGAAAGAUGGUGAACUAUGCCUGAAUAGGGUGAAGCCAGAGGAAACUCUGGUGGAGGCUCGUAGCGAUUCUGACGUGCAAAUCGAUCGUCAAAUUUGGGUAUAGGGGCGAAAGACUAAUCGAACCAUCUAGUAGCUGGUUCUGC